This 376-nucleotide RNase P RNA is filed under the name Acidimicrobiaceae bacterium. RNAcentral describes it as "RNase P RNA component class A". It matches the Rfam family "Bacterial RNase P class A". From Rfam's summary of the family: Ribonuclease P (RNase P) is a ubiquitous endoribonuclease, found in archaea, bacteria and eukarya as well as chloroplasts and mitochondria. Its best characterised activity is the generation of mature 5'-ends of tRNAs by cleaving the 5'-leader elements of precursor-tRNAs. RNAcentral also lists the same sequence under 2 other names. Lineage: Bacteria; Bacillati; Actinomycetota; Acidimicrobiia; Acidimicrobiales; Acidimicrobiaceae. The record is from RNAcentral.
UGAGUCGGCCGGGUGGCCGCGGCACGGGGUCGGUCCGCCGGCGACCGUGUCGAGGAAAGUCGGGCCUCCACAGAGCAGAGUGCUGGCGAGAGCCAGGUCGCGGCGACGUGACGGACAGUGCAACAGAGAGCAGACCGCCGAUGGACCGGUUCACCGGUCACAGGUGAGGGUGAAACGGUGCGGUAAGAGCGCACCAGCGUGCGGAGCGAUCCGUACGGCUCGGUCAACCCCACUCGGAGCAAGAUCGAGCAGAGGGGACGGGUUGCUCGCCCGUCCGGACCCCGGUCCGGACACCCCUCGGGUGGAUCGCACAGAGGGAUGGUCACCCGUGCCGGCAACGGCACGACAGAAGCCCGCUUACAGGCCGACUCACCGU